Hyla sarda is the source of this 76-nucleotide non-coding RNA. The record is from the annotation of a RefSeq genome assembly. Lineage: Eukaryota; Metazoa; Chordata; Amphibia; Anura; Hylidae.
GUCUCUGUGGUGCAAUUGGUUAGCACAUUCAGCUUGGGAAGCUGAAAGGUUGAUGUUUCAAAUCCAUCCAGAGACA